Molecule: ribosomal RNA, 477 nt
Filed under: uncultured bacterium
Lineage: Bacteria
Description: bacterial SSU rRNA
Rfam family: Bacterial small subunit ribosomal RNA
Source: RNAcentral
CUGGCGGAAUGCUUUACACAUGCAAGUCGAACGGCAGCAUAGAGAGCUUGCUCUCUGAUGGCGAGUGGCGAACGGGUGAGUAAUAUAUCGGAACGUGCCUAGUAAUGGGGAAUAACUAGCUGAAAGGUUAGCUAAUGCCGCAUACGACCUACGGGUGAAAGCAGGGGAUCUUCGGACCUUGCGUUAUUAGAGCGGCCGAUAUCUGAUUAGCUUGUUGGUGGGGUAAUGGCCUACCAAGGCGACGAUCAGUAGCUGGUCUGAGAGGACGAUCAGCCACACUGGAACUGAGACACGGUCCAGACUCCUACGGGAGGCAGCAGUGGGGAAUUUUGGACAAUGGGGGCAACCCUGAUCCAGCCAUUCCGCGUGAGUGAAGAAGGCCUUCGGGUUGUAAAGCUCUUUCGCAAGAGAAGAAAACUUGCUAUCUAAUAAAUAGUAAGUAUGACGGUAUCUUGACAAGAAGCACCGGCUAACUAC